CUGGGUUUGGCCUUACGACAUGAAAAGAUAGGUUGUAUGUAACUAGAAAUUCGUAUGAAAAAUGUUGCCAUGUAUGGGCCAAAACAAUUUGCUCCAACUCAGUAUGCAGGGAAAGAUUCAAGGAAAAUGAAGCAUAGGGAGAUGCUAUACGCUGUACGGAUGUACAUCAAACGAACUUUUCAGAGCAGCCGUCUCCAAAGUCCUAAUAGCUAUAGUUCGUCCGCUACAACUUUUCCCAUGUGUCACGAUUCAUUUUCAAACAAAUUAAGUCAAAACAUAAAGUGAAACGUACGCCGAUGUGUGUAGUAUAUAAUAUACAGUAUACAAAAUGUAUAUACACAUCGACAUUCGUUGUCUUAAACAAGAAUCUACAGGUCGAGCAAGUCUCGUAAAUUUCACGAUUGCGAGCCACGCUUCACGCAACCGUGUUUGCGUACUUGUGUUUCGAGUUGCGUGGUCGUGCGGAGUUAUAUUUACCAAAUUUAAAUGUAAUCGUUUCUACUGUCUACUGAUAAUAAUAUACUAUUCUCAAUAUGGCUACUGGGUGUAAAAGAUAAAUCUUAUUCUAUCUGUUCUUCAUGAGUUUUAGAUAAUUUUAGUUGUAUUUCUUUGUAAUUUUGUGUUGUACAAAGAUUAAUUUAACAUUUUCUCUGGAAGUAUUAAUUUAGAAAGAUAAUAUGCUUCAUUGGUGUUGUGUUUUGAAGUGUGAAAUGCAAAGUAAUUGUGAUAAAGUCAAGAUAAAGUUCACUUUUAAACUGAACUAAAUAGGUAUCUGAGAGACAACAAUGGUUAAAUGCAAUACAAUGUACAGGUUUUACUAGCGAAAUGAAAAUUUUCCUGUCCUGUCUGCUGUAAUCAUUUUAUAUCUGGUAAGUUACAAUUACAACAGUAACGAUUUUUGAAGAUGUUAACAUUUUAAUCUUAUAGGAAAAUAGGAAAACCAGCCGACUUAAUCGAUAAUAACAAUCUCCAGAUUGGGUUCCUUCAAUAAAUAUGGGCUAUAAACACAAUGAAAUAAGUUCCCCAAAAUCUAAAAUGGAGUGGUAUCAAAGGAGAAUUAAAGGAAAAAAUAUUCAUAUUGAAAUUAUUUAUAAGGCACUGGGCUGUCUUAAAUUCUACAAUAAUACUAGAAUCAGCUGAGAGAAGUGGUCUACAAAAAACCAGGAAGGAAACGGAAUAUGUGGCUACGAAAGGCAAAAGAAAGGUUUACAAAGCAAAUGUGACACAUUUUUUUGAAAUAUUUAGGAAUAUCAGUAAAUUGCAUUAAAAAAUGUAUGAAAAGAUUUUGUUCAAUAAAAAUGUUUAUAUUUA
Diabrotica virgifera virgifera (western corn rootworm) is the source of this 1311-nucleotide long non-coding RNA. RefSeq lists it as uncharacterized. The record is from RefSeq and is a predicted model, not a curated record. The transcript has 2 exons. Lineage: Eukaryota; Metazoa; Arthropoda; Insecta; Coleoptera; Chrysomelidae.